AAAGGCGAUGAAGAGUGUGAGUCGCAAGGCCCUCGGGGUCUCCUCUGCUCUCGGCUCGAUCUUGUCUCUCCGCUCCUCAGAGCUUUGGCAUGAAAAGCAUCCUCUGGGGACAGAGAGGAAAAGGUCAGAUCUCCAGGUCAAUAAAGCGAUCCUUUAUAUUCUGUUACACCACACUGAAUUCUGGAUCCCAAUUGGUCAGCGGAUCAGACGGCUCACAGGUUUGGAUGGACGUUGUUGUUGUUUUUUUUUUUGUUUUUUUUUACGUUAACGUUUCCAUAGUAACAGUUUACACAGGAUGUAAUCAAUGAUAUGGUUUGGAUUUAUGGUUAACAUUUAAGGAAGGAGUCUCCAGUGUCAGAGGAGACGGAGGAGGAGGUCAGGGUUUCUCAUUUGAAGCUAUAAAUGGAUAAAAAGUUGUUAUAUAAGAGAAAUAAACACGAAAGAGAACCUGAACACAGAGGUGGGAACGCUUCAUCACACCAUCCUGUCGGAGAUUAGUUUCCGAUAUCAGCACCGCACUAAGUGUUGGAAUCUUCUCAAGUUUUACUUUUAGCUAAUUUAAUUGUUUCUCUUUUUCUGAAAACAAAACAAGCAGGAGACUUUUCGCCGUCUUCUUCAUUUCCAGGAGCGGUCACUCAAUCGGCAUCUUAUAUACAGCAGAGACGAGGAGACGCAUGAUCAUGUAACAGCGUUUAACGGCCAAACCGGUCAUUUCAUCACCAGGAAGCGGUCACUUUUAUCCCUUUUCCCAACACACACUCAGUUCCACUGAUGAGAAAACACGUCCAGGAUCCUUAACGUGGAAUUAAUCGCUUGGCCGCUGCACACAGGGAAAAAAUCCUCGCCCUGGCCGAGUCCGGAGAAGAGAACAUGAAAGAGUUGGACGGAAGGAGUCUCCAGUGUCAGAAGUCUUCACGACAGAGGAGACGGCGAUGAAAGUGACAGCCACGGACGCGUCGUUGAUGAUUUUCCCUUCACCAGCACAGCGAGCCUAUAGCCAGGCGUGGAAGCAGGUCCUCUCCGGAGCGCCGGUGCGGGGUAGAGGGACGGACGAACCGGGUGACACACACUGCUCAGGAAACAAGGCCAAGGCAAUAACUCAGUGUGGGAGGAGUGUCAGCAAGAAAAGUGCGCCGAGGUAAAACAGAAAGAGAACUUUAAAAUGCCUCUGAUUGCAGUGAGAAUAAUAAGAAAUGACCUUUUUUUUAAUUUAAAGUGUGUGCCACUGAAAAGCAACAAAUUACGUGAUAAAUAAAAGAAGGAAUCCUCACGGUACAGGAGAGUAUGAAUCGAUUCCUCCGACAACGAUUCGAUGAUAAUGUGACGAUGUUUGAGCAAAACAUUUAAAUCUGCUUCGAAAUAAUACAAUAAGAUUUUCACUCAUAAGGUAAUGAUAUUCAGGAUAAUUAUAGCAUCUGCUAGGAUUGAAUAGAGUUUUGAUUCCUAAGAAUCCUAGGAUAUAUACGAUUUUGAUUUAUAAGAGAUGAUUUUUGACGAUAACGUUGAAUCUGCUACGAUAUACACUGAUCAGCCAUAACAUUAUGACCACCUGCCUAAUAUUGUGUUGGUCCCCCUUUUGACCCAGCGAGGCAUGGACUCCACUAGAUACCCUGCUGUGGUAUCUAACACCGAGAUGUUAGCAGCAGAUCCUUUAAGUCCUGUAAGUUGCGAGGUGGAGCCUCCAUGGAUCGGACUUGUUUGUCCAGCACAUCCCACAGAUGCUGGAUUGGUUUGAGAUCUGGGGAAUUUGGAGGCCAGGUCAACACCUCAAACUGGUUGUUGUGGUCAUCAAACCAUUCCUGAUACAUUUCUGCUCUGUGGGAUGGCGCUGAAAGAGGCCACAGCCAUCAGGGAAUACCGUUUCCAUGAAAGGGUGUACAUGGUCUGCAACAAUGCUUAGGUAGGUGGUACGUCUCAAAGAAACAUCGCUCCGCAUGUGCAAAUCCUUACACUUGUCCAUUUUUCCUGCUUCUAACACAUCAACUUUGAGGACAAAAUGUUGACUUGCUGCCUAAUAUAUCCCACCCACUAACAGGUGCCAUGAUGAGGAGGUCAUCAGUCUUAUUCACUUCACCUCUCAGUGGUCAUAAUGUUAUACCUGAUCGGUGUAAAUAUAUGAUUUAAAUUCAUAAAGCUAAGUCAAUAUUUGAUAAGAUCGAAUCUGCUAUGAAAUAUUGCAAAACGAUUUCCAUUCAUGAGGCCACGAUAUCUGACAAGUCUGCUACGAUACAAUACGAUACCAUUUCAAUUCACAUGGCCACGAUUAUUGCCUUCAGAUCUGCUACAAUUGGUCCUGAAAAGGAAACGGAGACUUUAUAAGCAUUUUAACUUCAGCUCUGAACAAAGAACGCAGGUUAUAUUUAAUGUGGUUUUCUGUAAGAAGACGUGUUUUUAACAUCUUGCGAAGCCUUCCAUGGUCAGAACUGAAGCUGUAACUUUACUACUGACUGAUGAAUUAACAUUAUCGCUCGGUUGAAUUUUAGCUAACCCUACGUCGUCGUCUUAUUGGUGGUUCAGAGACGGACUUCAUGGCAGCAGCACUCGCAGUCGGAGACUUAU
Molecule: long non-coding RNA, 2559 nt
Organism: Hemibagrus wyckioides
Lineage: Eukaryota; Metazoa; Chordata; Actinopteri; Siluriformes; Bagridae
Exons: 5
Source: RefSeq, a predicted model, not a curated record